AUUGAACGCUGGCGGCAUGCUUUACACAUGCAAGUCGAACGGCAGCGCGGGCUUCGGCCUGGCGGCGAGUGGCGAACGGGUGAGUAAUGCAUCGGAACGUGCCCAGUAGUGGGGGAUAGCCCGGCGAAAGCCGGAUUAAUACCGCAUACGACCUGAGGGUGAUAGCGGGGGACCGAAAGGCCUCGCGCUAUUGUAGCGGCCGAUGUCGGAUUAGCUAGUUGGUGGGGUAAAGGCUUACCAAGGCGACGAUCCGUAGCUGGUCUGAGAGGACGACCAGCCACACUGGGACUGAGACACGGCCCAGACUCCUACGGGAGGCAGCAGUGGGGAAUGUUGGACAAUGGGGGCAACCCUGAUCCAGCCAUGCCGCGUGCGGGAAGAAGGCCCUCGGGUUGUAAACCGCUUUUGUGCGGGAAGAAAUCCUCUGGGCUAAUACCCCGGGGGGAUGACGGUACCGGAAGAAUAAGCACCGGCUAACUACGUG
This 484-nucleotide ribosomal RNA is filed under the name uncultured bacterium. Its description in RNAcentral is "partial 16S ribosomal RNA". It matches the Rfam family "Bacterial small subunit ribosomal RNA", at positions 28 to 507 of the family's 1533-position model. The record is from RNAcentral.